UUUCCCGUAAAGCUUAGAACC
This 21-nucleotide microRNA is filed under the name Brassica rapa (field mustard). RNAcentral describes it as "bra-miR9555a-3p". Lineage: Eukaryota; Viridiplantae; Streptophyta; Magnoliopsida; Brassicales; Brassicaceae. The record is from miRBase by way of RNAcentral.